ACGAACGCUGGCGGCGUGCUUAACACAUGCAAGUCGAACGGACAGGCCCUUCUUUUGUUGGGUUCUCGAGUGGCGAACGGGUGAGUAACACGUGAGUCACCUGCCCUUGCCUUUUGGAUAACUUCAGGGAACUGGGGCUAAUACCGGAUCGGCGCUCCUGCUGCAUGGUGGGGGUUGGAAAGUUUCGGCGGUUGGGGAUGGACUCGCGGCUUAUCAGCUUGUUGGUGGGGUAGUGGCUUACCAAGGCUUUGCCGGGUAGCCGGCCUGAGAGGGUGACCGGCCACAUUGGGACUGAGAGACGGACCAGAGUCCUACGGGAGGCAGCAGUGGGGAAUAUUGCACAAUGGGAGGAAGCCUGAGGCAGAAACGCCGGGUGCGGGAUGACGGCCUUCGGGGUGUAAACCGCUGUAGCCUGUGACGAAGCGGGAGUGACGGUAAUGGGUAAAGAAGCACCGGCUAACUACGUG
This 467-nucleotide ribosomal RNA is filed under the name uncultured bacterium. RNAcentral's name for it is "partial 16S ribosomal RNA". It matches the Rfam family "Bacterial small subunit ribosomal RNA", at positions 29 to 507 of the family's 1533-position model. The record is from RNAcentral.